Molecule: long non-coding RNA, 365 nt
Filed under: Sorghum bicolor (sorghum)
Lineage: Eukaryota; Viridiplantae; Streptophyta; Magnoliopsida; Poales; Poaceae
Description: long non-coding RNA (SBIC_LNC015733)
Source: RNAcentral
AACGUGGUGUUUAGGCUGGGGUACUCAUAGAUAUUCUCUGACUAGCUAGACCGUGGUAGUAGUGAGGAACGUGACAAUUUCGAGUUACCUUUGCAGACCAUAUCUCGUUAGUAGGAAGGAUAGGGUUUACAGGUGCGGGUUGAACAUCCUUUGUGGUGUCUAGAUUCCGUUAGCCUCCCCAAUAGAACAGUAGAUCAUCCUUACCAAGGUUAGAAGAAGACUACGGUUGCAGUCUUCUCUAUUUAUCACUCACAUCGAGAGACAUUCUUUGUUGCCUAAAGGGUUAGUAGUAAUAGACCGGUUAGUCAGAUGCACUCUUUCUCCUAGUGGUAAAAAAACAAAUACGAUACUCUGGAUAAUUUCCC